UAGGGAAUCUUCCGCAAUGGGCGAAAGCCUGACGGAGCAACGCCGCGUGAGUGAUGAAGGUCUUCGGAUCGUAAAACUCUGUUAUUAGGGAAGAACAAAUGUGUAAGUAACUAUGCACGUCUUGACGGUACCUAAUCAGAAAUCCACGGCUAACUACGUGCCAGCAGCCGCGGUAAUACGUAGGUGGCAAGCGUUAUCCGGAAUUAUUGGGCGUAAAGCGCGCGUAGGCGGUUUUUUAAGUCUGAUGUGAAAGCCCACGGCUCAACCGUGGAGGGUCAUUGGAAACUGGAAAACUUGAGUGCAGAAGAGGAAAGUGGAAUUCCAUGUGUAGCGGUGAAAUGCGCAGAGAUAUGGAGGAACACCAGUGGCGAAGGCGACUUUCUGGUCUGUAACUGACGCUGAUGUGCGAAAGCGUGGGGAUCAAACAGG
This 429-nucleotide ribosomal RNA is filed under the name Actinomycetes bacterium. RNAcentral's name for it is "Actinobacteria bacterium partial 16S ribosomal RNA". It matches the Rfam family "Bacterial small subunit ribosomal RNA", at positions 355 to 776 of the family's 1533-position model. The record is from RNAcentral. Lineage: Bacteria; Bacillati; Actinomycetota; Actinomycetes.